UACAGAGGGUGCAAGCGUUGUUCGGAAUUAUUGGGCGUAAAGGGCGCGUAGGCGGUGCCACAAGUCACCUGUGAAAUCUCCGGGCUUAACUCGGAGCCUGCAGGCGAAACUGUGGUGCUGGAGUGUGGGAGAGGUGCGUGGAAUUCCCGGUGUAGCGGUGAAAUGCGUAGAUAUCAGGAGGAACACCUGUGGUGUAGACAGCUUACUGGACCAUUUCUGACGCUGAGACACGAAAGCGUGGGUAGCAAACAGG
Molecule: ribosomal RNA, 253 nt
Filed under: uncultured bacterium
Lineage: Bacteria
Description: partial 16S ribosomal RNA
Rfam family: Bacterial small subunit ribosomal RNA
Source: RNAcentral